This 253-nucleotide ribosomal RNA is filed under the name uncultured bacterium. Its description in RNAcentral is "partial 16S ribosomal RNA". It matches the Rfam family "Bacterial small subunit ribosomal RNA", at positions 524 to 776 of the family's 1533-position model. The record is from RNAcentral.
UACGGAGGGUGCAAGCGUUGCUCGGAAUUAUUGGGCGUAAAGGGUAGGUAGGUGGUCUCAUUUGUCUGGGGUGAAAGCCUUGAGCUUAACUCAAGAAGUGCCCCAGAAACGGUGAGACUAGAGUCUUGGAGAGGGUCGUGGAAUUCCCGGUGUAGCGGUGAAAUGCGUAGAUAUCUGGAGGAACACCGGUGGCGAAGGCGGCAUCCUGGACCAACACUGACGCUGAGGAGCGAAAGCCAGGGGAGCAAACGGG